Ribosomal RNA from Volvox carteri f. nagariensis, 3025 nucleotides. It matches the Rfam family "Eukaryotic large subunit ribosomal RNA", at positions 1889 to 3399 of the family's 3401-position model. The record is from Rfam. NCBI's taxonomy places the organism in Eukaryota, Viridiplantae, Chlorophyta, Chlorophyceae, Chlamydomonadales, Volvocaceae.
GAUAGAACAAUGUAGAUAAGGGAAGUCGGCAAAAUGGAUCCGUAACUUCGGGAAAAGGAUUGGCUCUGAGGGCUGGGCCUAGGGGUCUGCAGCUGUGAAGCUCGGGACUGUGGUGGUCUACCCAACUGGAAACGGCUGGGCGGACUGCUGCGUGUCCUGGGUGGACGGCUGUAGAAGCUUCGCGGCGUUCCCUAGGCGACGAACAGCCAACUCAGAACUGGUACGGACAAGGGGAAUCCGACUGUUUAAUUAANACAAAGCAUUGUGAUGGUCCCAAAGGAUGUUGACACAAUGUGAUUUCUGCCCAGUGCUCUGAAUGUCAAAGUGANNNNNNNNNNNNNNNNNNNNNNNNNNNNNNNNNNNNNNNNNNNNNNNNNNCCACCCUCUUUCCGUCCGUACCCUCCGUACCGUCUUUUUCCGUUGAUUUAUACAGCACAAGGAGCUCCCCUUCCUCUCCACCCCCCAAUCCCAUUACGCCAAACACACACACCCCGCCUCACUCACUUGUCAGGUUCAAGCCCCGUGUGUUGAAUGAACAACUGCGCGAAGUCCACCAGCCAGCUAUCCAAGUGGAGCUCUUCACCGCCCUCCCCGCCGCCAGCAGCAGCUGCAGCGCCCUGAACCCCCGACCCAGUGGCGCCUUCACCCUGUGGGGCGCGCGCGUGUGCGUGUGUGUUGUAUGUCUGUCUGUAUGUAUGCGUAUUUACAUGUACGGGGCUCCGAAUGAGUGUUGGUUUGUGUUCCGAAAAGCAGCUCACGUGUGUGACAUGUUGACAGAUUGACUCAUGAUUAUAGUCAUUUGCGAAGUAACAUUCACACACACACACGUAUGUGUGUGUAUUUUCCCCGCUAGUUCCCCCCCACCGCACCUUCCUCUCCCCGGACGCCGCCUUCUGGUAGGCCAGCAGCUGCUGCCGCUCGAACUCCUCCUCGGCUGGGGGUUUGGGCACGUCGGCCUGCGUGUGUGCGUGUGUAUGUGUGUGUGGUGACGGGGGGGGGAGAGUGAGGGGGAGGGGGAAGAAGUGCAGGGCGAGGAGGUCUAUGGCGGUCGAUAGAUCGAUACGACGACCUGACGUCCGCCGGCAGCGGCAGUAGCAGGUAUCCACUGAACCGGCACACCUCCAAGUUCAAUCCCGACCCAAACUCUCCCCAAACUCCGCAAGCUCCGAAACCACGAGAUCCGUCCCCUAACACCUGCUGCCGUACAUACCUGUCCACCACCGAGACUUCCAAGUCAUCCUGACGCUACUGCCAUCCCGAGGUUGCAGCAGUACCAUCAGCAGCAGGCUCUACUACUACUGCUACUGCUGUUCCUGGCACCCAAUCCCAAGGGGGGGGCCAGGGCCACGUCCUCCUUCCUUUCCACAGGAGCAAUAGGAAGGACAGAACCCCCCUCCCUCCCCCUCCAUAAACCUCCACGACAAAACACAUCCUGGCCGCUCAUAUUCGCCCGCCCCCGACUUCAUUUGAUUUCUCCUCUCCCCCCCCCUCCUCCCCCUCCCCCUCCUCCCCCUCCCCCUCCCCCUCCUCCCCCUCCUCCCGCCCGGCUCCUCCCCCCCCCUCCUCCCGCCCGGCUCCUCCCCCCCCUCCUCCCGCCCGGCUCCGCAAGCUCACCGCGCUGGCUACCGGUGUCAGGAGCAGCUUCAGCGGUGGGAAGGCGGUCAGUCGAGGUCCGUGUGCGCCCUGUGACGCCAUGGUCCGCUGGUACUGCUGCAUCAGCUCAGCUAGGGCCACGUGGAUGUCGGCCUUGCAGGUGAGCGUGAUGACAUCGCCGUUCUUGUCCAAGUACUUGAGCGCGAACGGACCUAAGAGGAGGAGGGGGGGAUGGUGCCGUCCCCCGGGGGGUUUGGGUUUUAGGGUUUGGGUUUGUGACAUCUCAAGACGCGCAAGUAAACCCCCAUUUGUCCCUCUCCGCCUUCCUCAUGUCCUCUUUCCCCCCCCCUCCGGCAUUGCAUCAUGCAUCCCGGCCGCCCGCCAAUGCACCCCCAAAACACACACGCGCGCGCAUCUUGACCGAGGACCGCCGCCCUGCCUCAAAUCCCCCUGCCUUUCCCCACUCCUUCCCCCCUGCACAACUGGGUCGCCCGAGCACCUGCGGAGGGAAAUUUGGCCUGUACGGCAGCCAACACAUCCGCAUAGUUGUUGUUGAACGACAGGUGGACGAGCUUAGUCUCGUCUCCGAGGGAACACUUGGCCACGUACAAACCCUGCUGCAGCGCAGACAGCUUGCUGGCGGCGGNNNNNNNNNNNNNNNNNNNNNNNNNNNNNNNNNNNNNNNNNNNNNNNNNNUCCUAAGAUGAGCUCAACGAGAACAGAAAUCUCGUGUAGAACAAAAGGGUAAAAGCUCAUUUGAUUUUGAUUUUCAGUACGAAUACAAACUGUGAAAGCAUGGCCUAUCGAUCCUUUAGCCUUUCGGGAUUUGAAGCUAGAGGUGUCAGAAAAGUUACCACAGGGAUAACUGGCUUGUGGCAGCCAAGCGUUCAUAGCGACGUUGCUUUUUGAUCCUUCGAUGUCGGCUCUUCCUAUCAUUGUGAAGCAGCAUUCACCAAGCGUUGGAUUGUUCACCCCCUAAUAGGGAACGUGAGCUGGGUUUAGACCGUCGUGAGACAGGUUAGUUUUACCCUACUGUUGGACCGAUUCCGCCAUAGUAAUACGGCUCAGUACGAGAGGAACCGCCGUUUAAGAUAAUUGGUAAAUGCCCUUGCCUGAAAAGGCAAUGGGGCGAAGCUAACAUCUGUAGUCUAAUGACUGAACGCCUCUAAGUCAGAAGACAUGCUAGGUGCGGAGUCACUUUCCCAAUGAUGUCACCCGACUAAGGAUACAUCCGCCUGUGUGGAUGCUGGAGCAUAUCCGUUGGUUUCCCCGUUAGGAUCACAGGUCCAAUACGGGUGCCAAGCACGACAAUUCCACUCGUCAUUGGGGUAAAUCCUCUGCAGACGACUUUGUUGCAACUGGGUAUUGUAAGUGGUAGAGUGGCCUUGCUGCUACGAUCCACUGAGAUUCAUCCCGUGUUGCUAUAAGAUUU